AUUGUAUACUGAUAAUUUCACGUGGAACGAUGCAGAGAAGUUUAGCAUGGCCCCUGCGCGAGACUACAGUAAAAGUCAUAAUUUCAACCAGAUAUUG
This 97-nucleotide small nuclear RNA is filed under the name Strigamia maritima. The record is from RNAcentral. Lineage: Eukaryota; Metazoa; Arthropoda; Chilopoda; Geophilomorpha; Linotaeniidae.